UGAGCAACCUGCCCUUGACCCUGGAAUAACAGCUGGAAACAGCUGCUAAUACCGGAUACGACCUCCGAUGGCAUCAUCUGGAGGUGGAAAGCUCCGAGGUCAAGGAUGGGCUCGCGGCCUAUCAGCUUGUUGGUGAGGUAACGGCUCACCAAGGCUUCGACGGGUAGCCGGCCUGAGAGGGCGACCGGCCACACUGGGACUGAGACACGGCCCAGACCUCCGUAGGGAGG
Molecule: ribosomal RNA, 230 nt
Filed under: uncultured bacterium
Lineage: Bacteria
Description: partial 16S ribosomal RNA
Rfam family: Bacterial small subunit ribosomal RNA
Source: RNAcentral